GAUCAUGGCUCAGGAUGAACGCUAGCUACAGGCUUAACACAUGCAAGUCGAGGGGAAACGACAUCGAAAGCUUGCUUCUGAUGGGCGUCGACCGGCGCACGGGUGAGUAACGCGUAUCCAACCUGCCCACCACUUGGGGAUAACCUUGCGAAAGUAAGACUAAUACCCAAUGAUAUCUCUAGAAGACAUCUGAAAGAGAUUAAAGAUUUAUCGGUGUACGAUGGGGAUGCGUUCCA
Molecule: ribosomal RNA, 236 nt
Filed under: uncultured bacterium
Lineage: Bacteria
Description: partial 16S ribosomal RNA
Rfam family: Bacterial small subunit ribosomal RNA
Source: RNAcentral